AAGACUUCUUAUGAAAUUAAAGUUAUGGCUUCUCCCGAUGGAGGAUCCAUUAUCAAGAGCAUCAGCAAGUACUAUCCUAAGGAAGGCUGCGAGAUCAAUGAAGAAAGAGUCAAGGCUGGAGCAGAGAAGGCCUUCAACAUGUUUAAGGCUGUUGAGGCUUAUGUCUUGGCAAAUCCUGAUGCCUGCUAAUUUGUAUCUAUCCAACAUGGAGUGAAGAAUUAAUUUUCAUGUUUUUAUUUAUUUAUUAUGUAUUUUUCUCUCUUUUUUUUUUUAGGGAUGGAGGGUCAAACCACUUUUGACCUGACAAUAAAAGUUUAUAAUCGUAUACUUGUAUUGACUGAUUGGUUUAAACUCUAUCAAUAGAUUAAUUAUGGAGUGUAAACCUCAAGUUCAUAAUAAAUAUUUCGUAAUUUUCUUUGUUUUAAUUCCUCUGUAUUUCAAACUUUGUACUUUUAUGUUUUUUCUUUUUCAAUUUAUUAUACUAAGUAUUUUCUCUAUUUAUUUUUAUGGAAUAUUAACUAGUAAAUGGAAUAAUAAAAAUAAUUAAAAAUUUUAUUUGAUCCCUAAAUUCUUGAUGUAUUGAAAUUCAUUUAAAAUUAAAUGUUAUUAUCAAAUUACCAUAAAAUUGUUCUUAAAUUAUCAUUCCUUUUAUUUAAAAAAUAAAUAAAUAAGUGAAUUUUUUUUAAUUUUUUUUUGUUUAAGGAAUUAUAUAUAAAGUAAAAAACAAAUCUAUUACGAUUUGGUGAGAAUUUUAUUUAAUCUGAUUUUUUUAAAAUUCUAUUUCUUUUUUCAAGGUUUAUUAAAUAUAUGUUUUAGUUUUGUUUAACUAAAACCAGAAAUUUUAUGAGCCAAAUAGAAUUUUUAUUUUUAAGAAUUUAAUCCAUUAACUAGUUUAUUUUCUCACAAGAUGGAUGGAAUGGAUAUUUAGUGUAGCGAAUUAAAAAUAAAAAAACAUAUUAACAAAAGACAAAAAAAAUAUAAGAGUGAGAUAUAUUCGAAAUAUGGAAAAGAAAAUUCAAAUGAAAAAUGCACCCUUAUCAAUUAGCCUUUCUAACAUGAUAGUUCAUAUAAGCCUCGAACUAGUCCUGUACUCCAAUUCCCUUCAAGCUAGAAUCGAAACCUGGAAAAAAAUAUUUCACUUAUUUUCAAUUUUUUUUUCAUGUAUAUUUUCUUAACAUUAUCUCAUUUAUUUUAUUAAAAGCAUUUAUUAUAUAGAUAGUUUGAUUUUUUAUAGAAAAAAUUAAGUUCAAGCCAAUCUGUUUUUUACACUAGUUGAGAUUGGCUGGAAUCAAAAUCAUAAACUAGAACCAAUCGGUUUCAAGAGUCACGAAAUCACAAACCAAAGGUUCCUAAGCUGUGGCCAGGUCUAUUAUCAAUCAAUUGUUAGUUCAACAGCAACAAUUUUUCAGUCUGGAAAGAGACUUGACUAUCAUUCAAGUUUUACUUAUAUUUAUCUAAAUGAUAAAGAAUCUUCAAACUACUAGAAAUAAGCAACAUGAAUUGACCAAAAAAAAGAAAACGGAUCAUAUUUUCAUAUUAAUAAUAAAAAUUAUAAUUUAAGCCUCACAUUGCGGUGGCUUCUUAUCAAUAAUGACUUUCCUUUAAUUAAAAUCGUUUACUCUAAUAGCAAGUAACAUGUUUUAUUAAAUUACAAAACGAAUUCAUUUCACAAAAUACAACAGGGGAGGUUUGGAAUGCUAUAAACUAUUAAUACUUUGGCAAGACCAUUGCUUCAGAAUGAGUAAUUGAAAUGCUAUAAAAUAUGUCUUUUCCUUUUUUUUUUUGCAAAUGGCUAUUUGUAUUAAUGUCAUUCAUUGCUAUUGGCGGCUAGCCGGCAAAUAUCUAUUUUUCAAAAAAAAAAAAAAGAUUUUAUAUAUAUACUAUUCAUUUCCAUUGCCACUUAUUAUUUAAAAUACAGGUUCAGAAAAAAGAAAAUAAAACUAUUCUUCACGAUGCAGUCAAAAGGGGCCAUAUCUAGAAAGUAAAGGAAUCAUAUUUAUGUAUAUCAGCACACCACCUUUUUAAUUUAAUUCAUCCUCAAAGCCUGAAUUUUCUGACCUUUCUGCAAAUUCAUUUGAUCUCUCUACAGGGAAUAACCUGAAACCAUGACAUUCAUUCUAUAAGUACUUCCCUUUGCUCUUGCUUUUUGCCACACCUGACUUCCAUAUACAUUCUGCAAAUCUAUAUAUCCCUCUUCCUUGUUCAUUCCUUCACCUGAUAUUUUACCAGAGGCCACCAUGGGUGUUUUGACUUUUGAGAAGGAAAUUACAACUUCAAUCCCACAAGCUAAAACGUUCAAGGCCUUUAUUCUUGAAUCUGACACUCUUAUCCCUAAGAUUUUACCUCAAAUUACUAUAGAGUUCCUUGAAGGAAAUGGAGGACCUGGAACCAUCAAGAAAACUACAUUUGCUGAAGGUUAGCUUUAAUUGUUCAAUAUUCAAAUUUUAGUAUUAUAUAUAGAGAGAGAGAGAGAGGUGUAUUGCUCAAAUUAAUAAGUUUACAAGCAAUUAUAAUAUUUGAAUAAUUAAUAUGCUCUUUCAUGAGUUGCAGGUGGUGAAGUUAAGUACAUUAAAACCAAAGUUGAAGCAACGGACAAGGACAAUUUCAUGCAUUGCUACAGUGUUAUUGAAGGCGAGCCAUGGAUGGAUGAAUUAGAGAAGACCUCUUACGAAAUUAAAAUAAUAGCUUCUUCUGAUGGAGGAUCUAUUAUCAAGAGCGUUAGCAAGUAUUACCCAAAGGAAGGCUGUGAGCUCAACGAAGAAAGAAUCAAGGCUGGAGCAGAGAAGGCCUUUGGUAUAUUUAAGGCUAUUGAAGCUUAUGUCCUGGCAAAUCCUAAUGCCUGUUAAUAUUUUUAUGUCCAAUCUUGAUAUUAAAAAUCAGUUUUCAUGUUUUCUUGAUAUUUUCAUUUCUCUUUCUGUGGAGGGUCAAACCACUUUUGACCUCAUAAUAAAAAUUUGAAGUUGUAUACUUGUGUUCAUUGGUUUAUACACUAUUAUGGAUUAAUUAAAGAGUAUAAGCUCCAAUCUCAAAAAAAACAUAUAGCCAUUUCCUUUCUAAAAUGAUGGAUUUAUAUUUUUCUUUUCUUAAUUUAAGCAUGAGUAGAGACAUAAUUAGAAAUGACCAGCCAAGAUAUUUAAAUCUGACAAAAAAAAAAUCUAUGAUUAUCCACUGCAACCUAGCCAACUAUGGCUUACAGAACUAGUAAUUAAGGUCAGAGAAAGAGAGGAAGGAACCUGAUAGGAAUAUGCGAGUAUGUGACACCAAUACCAAAUCUAUUCAUUUCUAGACUAAAAUGGAAAGAUAUCAAUUGAAUGAAGUAAAUUUUGACUGUUGGGGGGAAAGCAUUUUCGUUCAGUAAUCAGAUGAAGAAAUGACUUGGAUAUUCUUUUAGUUAGUAGCUUUCAACUUUGAACAACUUGGUCUGAUUAUGAAGCUAUAUGAGAAAAUAACUCACCACAAG
This 3460-nucleotide long non-coding RNA is filed under the name Ricinus communis (castor bean). Its description in RNAcentral is "long non-coding RNA (RCOM_LNC001071)". Lineage: Eukaryota; Viridiplantae; Streptophyta; Magnoliopsida; Malpighiales; Euphorbiaceae. The record is from RNAcentral.